UACGGGGUGCACCAGUUACGAAAACUCCGCAAUGCACGAAAGUGUGACGGGGCUAUCCCGAGUGCCGUCCGCUGAGGAUGGCUUUUCUCCAGUUUAAGGAGCUGGAGGAAUAAGGAGAGGGCAAGUCUGGUGUCAGCCGCCGCGGUAA
This 148-nucleotide ribosomal RNA is filed under the name uncultured archaeon. RNAcentral's name for it is "partial 16S ribosomal RNA". It matches the Rfam family "Archaeal small subunit ribosomal RNA", at positions 324 to 473 of the family's 1478-position model. The record is from RNAcentral.